AGUCGACGAUGAAGCCUUUCGGGGUGGAUUAGUGGCGAACGGGUGAGUAACACGUGGGCAAUCUGCCCUUCACUCUGGGACAAGCCCUGGAAACGGGGUCUAAUACCGGAUAACACUCUGUCCCGCAUGGGACGGGGUUAAAAGCUCCGGCGGUGAAGGAUGAGCCCGCGGCCUAUCAGCUUGUUGGUGGGGUAAUGGCCUACCAAGGCGACGACGGGUAGCCGGCCUGAGAGGGCGACCGGCCACACUGGGACUGAGACACGGCCCAGACUCCUACGGGAGGCAGCAGUGGGGAAUAUUGCACAAUGGGCGAAAGCCUGAUGCAGCGACGCCGCGUGAGGGAUGACGGCCUUCGGGUUGUAAACCUCUUUCAGCAGGGAAGAAGCGAAAGUGACGGUACCUGCAGAAGAAGCGCCGGCUAACUACGUGCCAGCAGCCGCGGUAAUACGUAGGGCGCAAGCGUUGUCCGGAAUUAUUGGGCGUAAAGAGCUCGUAGGCGGCUUGUCACGUCGGAUGUGAAAGCCCGGGGCUUAACCCCGGGUCUGCAUUCGAUACGGGCUAGCUAGAGUGUGGUAGGGGAGAUCGGAAUUCCUGGUGUAGCGGUGAAAUGCGCAGAUAUCAGGAGGAACACCGGUGGCGAAGGCGGAUCUCUGGGCCAUUACUGACGCUGAGGAGCGAAAGCGUGGGGGAGCGAACAGGAUUAGAUACCCUGGUAGUCCACGCCGUAAACGUUGGGAACUAGUGUUGGCGACAUUCCACGUCGUCGGUGCCGCAGCUAACGCAUUAAGUUCCCCG
This 795-nucleotide ribosomal RNA is filed under the name Streptomyces sp. DST104. RNAcentral's name for it is "bacterial SSU rRNA". It matches the Rfam family "Bacterial small subunit ribosomal RNA", at positions 60 to 871 of the family's 1533-position model. Lineage: Bacteria; Bacillati; Actinomycetota; Actinomycetes; Kitasatosporales; Streptomycetaceae. The record is from RNAcentral.